RNA transcript from Populus trichocarpa (black cottonwood), 2565 nucleotides. It is a transcript of the gene named ETHYLENE INSENSITIVE 3-like 3 protein, with no coding region annotated. The record is from RefSeq and is a predicted model, not a curated record. NCBI's taxonomy places the organism in Eukaryota, Viridiplantae, Streptophyta, Magnoliopsida, Malpighiales, Salicaceae. The transcript has 4 exons.
UGCCACUCAAAAACGUCAUCAGCAACAUCAUCAUCUCUCUCUCUCUCUCUCAAAAUCUCGAUAGAGACCCAAUUAAAAUCUAUCUCUCUGUAAAAUAUUUUAUAGUAAUUAUCGUGUUUGUGCAUUGAAUUUAGCAAAAACUGCUUUACUUUAUUAUUUUUCCGGCAAAAAAACCCUUAUUGGGUUCAUUUCUUUGCGCCUUUUCUUCCUCUGGGUUCAUCUCUAUCUCUCAUAUAGGACUCUGUGUCUUCUUCUCUAACCCAACAAAAAUAGAGAGAAGGGUUUCAGAACUUGAGACCGAAUUGCUUGUUUGGUUGAUUUGAGGUUCAAAGUCUUGUGUUUUUAUCAAGUUUGAUGGGUGAAUUGGAAGAGAUUGGAGCUGAUAUUUGCGCGGACCUUGAAGCUGAUGAUAUAAGGUGUGACACUAUCGCGGAGAAAGAUGUCACUGAUGAAGAAAUUGAAGCAGAAGAUUUGGAGAGGCGAAUGUGGAAGGAUCGUAUCAAACUCAAAAGGCUUAAAGAAAAACAGAAGCUUGCAGCACAACAAGCUGCGGAGAAGCAAAAGCCCAAGCAGACGUCAGAUCAAGCUCGGAGGAAGAAAAUGUCGAGAGCCCAGGAUGGAAUUCUCAAGUAUAUGUUGAAGUUAAUGGAAGUGUGCAAAGCACGUGGAUUUGUGUAUGGAAUCAUUCCAGAGAAGGGUAAGCCAGUAAGUGGUGCAUCUGAUAACAUAAGAGCUUGGUGGAAAGAAAAGGUGAGGUUCGAUAAGAACGGGCCAGCAGCCAUAGCAAAGUAUGAAGCAGAGUGUUUGGCCAUGGGUGAGGCAGAGAACAGUAAAAAUGGGAACUCUCAAAGUGCUCUUCAAGAUCUUCAAGAUGCAACUUUAGGGUCUCUUUUGUCUUCUUUGAUGCAACACUGUGAUCCCCCCCAAAGGAAGUACCCAUUGGAGAAGGGAGUUCCACCACCUUGGUGGCCAACGGGAAAUGAAGAUUGGUGGGUAAAAUUAGGACUAUCCCAAGGCCAGAGCCCUCCUUAUAAGAAACCACAUGAUUUGAAGAAGAUGUGGAAAGUUGGGGUAUUAACAGCUGUAAUAAAGCACAUGUCACCUGAUAUUCCAAAAAUUAGAAGGCAUGUGCGUCAAUCAAAAUGCUUACAGGAUAAGAUGACCGCAAAGGAGAGUGCAAUUUGGUUAGGGGUGUUGAGUCAAGAGGAAUCUCUCAUUCGGCAACCUAGCAGUGACAAUGGAACAUCUGGUGUAACUGAAACUCCUCAAGGCGGACAUGGCCAAAAGAAGAAACGUGCCAUUAGUAGUGAUAGUGAUUAUGAUGUUGAUGGUGCUGAUGAUGGUGUGGGUUCAGUUUCAUCUAAAGAUAAUAGGAGAAAUCAAUCAAUGGAUGUGGAGCCAUUAAACAGUCGAGAUGAUGCUACCAAUCCUGUCCAAGAUAAGGAGCUAGGGAAAAAGCAACCAAGGAGAAAAAGGCCCCGUGUGAGGUCAAGCCAUGCUGAUCAACAUCCUCAACCACAGCUGAAUGAUGAUCAUUUGGGUGUUGAGAGGACAAGUACUUUGCCUGAUAUAAAUCACACUGAUUUACAGCCAGUUGACUAUCAGAUGCAUGACACUCAGCAUGAAAAUUUUACAUCUUCAACUGUAAGGCCUCUGGAGAAUGGUUUUGUGGGUGAAUCCAACCUACCCCAAUCUGACUUUAACUACUAUGCUGGUGUUCCUUCUGCCAAUGUCAAUUCUACGGAGAAAAUUUAUGCAGACAAAGGGCCUGCCUUUUAUCCAUUGGGCCAAAAUUCAGUGCUGCACCAUGAGACUACUUAUAGUAAUUUCUAUAAUCCAUCACUUGAUUAUGGGACAAAUCAUGAUAGGCAGCCUUCUCAGAUGACAAUGAGCAUCAGGCAAGAGGAUGACAGAUUCCAUAUACCAGCACCGCAAGGAAAUGGAAAUGACUUGACUGGAGGAGAACCACAUCAUCUUAUCAAAGAUACAUUUCCCACUGAGCAAGAUGGAGCUGUUGAUAGGCAAUUUGAAUUUGACUUGCCAGAUUUUGCAAUUAACAGCCCAUUCCUUGAAAUGAGUUCGUUUUCAUUGGAUGACUUAUUUGUUGAUCCUGAGGAUGAAUUGAUCCAAUGCUUUGGUGCAUAGUUUCAGAAAGCUGACACAGCUGAUACUUUCAGAUUGGACAGGUGAAAAGCUCAAAACUGCAGCGCAACCAUUUCUGACCUGGUUAAAGGACUUCCUCAAUCAAUUAGAGGUGCUGCCUUAACAGUUGUUAUUGUUUGUGCAUUUCAAGGCAGUGGUACCUGGUCGUCUGGUUUCCUCCAGUUUUGACCUGGAUGAUCAGUGGACACAUCAUAUUGUCCUUCAGUGAGUCCCCAUUUACUUUAUGUAUCCCUCUGCCUCUGCAAUGGACACCAAAGUCUGGUUCUUACUCUCAGAGUAUUUAGUUCAGGCACACUUGUUAAGCUGAACAUAGGUAGCUGGACAUGAGUCCAGGGUUGUAAUUGCAUGGAUGAACCUUUUCAAUAAUCUAUGAACUAAUGCAUUUACGAUUAUUUUUUAAAA